Molecule: transfer RNA, 96 nt
Filed under: Spirochaetia bacterium
Lineage: Bacteria; Pseudomonadati; Spirochaetota; Spirochaetia
Description: tRNA-Gly
Source: RNAcentral
UCCCGUGGGCUGCCCGCCGGCAGGGCGGUGAUUUCCCGGAUUGCCCGUGCGGUGUAUUUUUCCGCGUAGGCCCGGGCCGCUUCCAGGCCGCCGGAA